Molecule: long non-coding RNA, 915 nt
Filed under: Dromaius novaehollandiae (emu)
Lineage: Eukaryota; Metazoa; Chordata; Aves; Casuariiformes; Dromaiidae
Description: lncRNA (ENSDNVG00000003517.1)
Source: RNAcentral
CUCGUGCUGCAGCGUACGGCUCCGGCACACGGGCUGGGGUACGGCAGGGCUUCAGCAGUCCCUUCAGCUGCCACCUCUGCCGGGGCAAAGGGGACUAUCUGGGGUGACCUGGUUUCAGUGAAGUUAUUUAAGUUAUUAAAAGAAGUCAUGAUUUAAAUUAAGUCAGAAACAUUAGUUCUAAACAACCGUUUUAAAGCCGUUUUCUGUCUGUACCUUUUAGUUACUUCCUUAAGACGUGUUGAUUUUGUGUUUGAUUUAUUUUUCUUGCUCUUUUUGCUCUCUGACAGAAGAUACGGAUAAACUUCUAUUUAAGUUGUUCUGUAGCUUGAAAAAACCAUUACUAUCCAAAGCAAAGCUCAUUUACUUACUUAUUCAACAAACUYGGGUUCCUGGUGCUUGGAUAGCAGCUUCGCCCAGGUCACUUGCCUGAUCUUUUCGCGAUUUCAGCAGUGGGCAGGUACUGACUGAAAACUGUGUAAAUAAUKUACAUUAAAUUAAAAAUGGCUUACAUUAAAUUAGGUCUCAACAUAAGCUGUUAUUAUUUCAGGUUUAUUUUUUWAUUUAUUUAUUUUUAAACAGAAACAUCUACACAUGUUAAUCUGAUUUUUUUUCUCAGAUCUGUAUUUUAUCUAUCAUAGCAGCAUUUAAAUUCCAGGAAAUAAAUUGAUCCUGGGAUUUGAACUGGACUCACAACAAACUGUGAAAGGUUCUCCAUAGACGUACGACCAAGAGGAGAAACACGAGCUGUAAAACGCAGGCGCAGAUCUCCACUUUGGAAAGCCCACACCGGAGUCUCAGAUGCAGCGUCUUGGAGGAGAGGAGAGCAAGGAUAGCUGCAAAACGCCCACCCGGCCUGAGUGGGAUGUGUUCACCUGCAAAGAGAGGACGAACUCUAAACCCUGCUUCGGUACUUCC